Molecule: unclassified non-coding RNA, 235 nt
Filed under: Hevea brasiliensis (rubber tree)
Lineage: Eukaryota; Viridiplantae; Streptophyta; Magnoliopsida; Malpighiales; Euphorbiaceae
Source: RNAcentral
CGGGUAAUGGAGCUGCCGUGCCGGACCGGGAAAUAGCAGUUUUGAACGCCGAAAUCAUUCGGACUCGCGGCGAUGCCGUAUUUGUACAACGGAUUCUCUUUGCAUUGCAUGAAUGUCAUUUCAAUACGAACGUCACAAUCUGGCUUCGGCGGUUUCCCGUAAGGACCGAUUAUCGGAAACCAAUCACUGAUUUUUUCACCCGAAAUGAUCUUCUCAACCGGAACGGUUGCAACAC